Ictalurus punctatus (channel catfish) is the source of this 1272-nucleotide long non-coding RNA. The record is from Ensembl. NCBI's taxonomy places the organism in Eukaryota, Metazoa, Chordata, Actinopteri, Siluriformes, Ictaluridae.
UAGUGUGUGUGUUACAGUGUGUGUGUAUUACAGUGUGUGUUGUACGUCGUGUGUGUAUUACAGUGUGUGUAUUACAGUGUGUGUAUUACAGUGUGUGUAUUACAGUGUGUGUAUUACAGUGUGUGUUGUACUGUGUGUGUGUAUUACAGUGUGUGUAGUACAGUGUGUGUGUGUAGUACAGUGUGUGUGUGUGUAUUACAGUGUGUGUAUUACAGUGUGUGUAGUACAGUGUGUGUGUGUAGUACAAUGUGUGUGUGUGUGUGUAGUACAGUGUGUGUAUUACAGUGUGUGUAUUUCAGUGUGUGUAUUACAGUGUGUGAUUAUAAGGAGGAAUUUUGGGGUGUUUACAUAAAUGGAAUGAUUAGAGAUGAUUAGACGUGAGGAGAUUUGAUCAUUAGACGAGCAGCUGUUAAAUUGGAGGCCGGGGGAGAUACAUUAGUGUAGAGGUUAUUAAUGGGGUGAAUAAAAGUUUGUUGAGUUACAUUAAGGAUUUAAAUUCCAAUUUCGAGGAUUUUAGGAGGUUUACAGCGUAUUAGAUGAGGUAUAGGAGGUUGGAUAAGAAGUUUGCGAGUGGAUGUGUCUGGAUACGUGAAUUAGAGCAGAAUUUGGGUAAAUGAAUGAACUGAAAUGAACAGCACACAGAAAUACACCUCAUAAGCACUUACCACACAGAUAUCAGCGGUUAUAUCAUAGAGAACAGGGCGGGAUGUAAGAUGGAGCCCUGAGGGACACCUGCGGAUUCACCAUUACACCACACACUGAGGUCUGCAGGAGGAAGAAGAAGCGUGUAGAGGGAUUUUGUGUCGAUAAACCGAGCUGCACAAUGUUCAUUAUUUAAACCUUUAAUGAGGUGAUAUAUAACGAGUUAUAUACAGCAGUGAGAGUUUGGGAUAAAGAUGUGGGAAGAUGAAGGGGAACAUGAGGGUGUGCUUUUAAAAAUGACAGGAAUUUGGGAUCAACUAGAAGCAGACUGGGUACGUUACGCAGACGGUUGUAACAUUAGAUUAGCUAAUAUCAGUUGAUUUAGACUUUGGUGUGGAGAAAUGAUUAGAGUUUGCUAGAUAAUUUACAGAUUUAUUAAAUGUUUAAAAUAAGAGGGUUUAGUAAAGUGGGAUUUGGAGUCAAUUACAGUAAAGCUAUAUAAUGAAUUAUUAUUAAUCUGUUAUAGAACCCUAUAAUAAAGUUCCACAUAGAACUUCUAACCACUCAAAGAACACCUGUAGAACCACUGUAGAACACCUGUAGAACCCCCGUAGAACCCCUGUAGAACCC